AAGUCGUAACAAGGUUUCCGUAGGUGAACCUGCGGAAGGAUCAUUACCAUUAUAAGGGGGUUAGUAGUUUUGCUGAUGAAAAUAAGCAAUUCUAUGCUCGAAACCCCCGGUUUCAUCCUUGUCUUUUUAUGUACCCUAGUUUCCUCGGUGGGGUUGAUAGUAUCAUCCCGCCGAUAGGACACACCAAUAAACCUUUUAAAUGUAAUUGCAGUCAGCAUCUGAAUAAAUAUAUAAUAUUUACAACUUUUAACAACGGAUCUCUUGGUUCUG
RNAcentral lists this unclassified non-coding RNA (270 nucleotides) under air metagenome. Its description in RNAcentral is "partial contains small subunit ribosomal RNA, internal transcribed spacer 1, and 5.8S ribosomal RNA". The stretch from base 1 to 46 matches the Rfam family "Eukaryotic small subunit ribosomal RNA", at positions 1786 to 1831 of the family's 1831-position model. The record is from RNAcentral.